Homo sapiens (human) is the source of this 868-nucleotide long non-coding RNA. RefSeq lists it as uncharacterized. The transcript is spliced from 3 exons. The record is from RefSeq and is a predicted model, not a curated record. NCBI's taxonomy places the organism in Eukaryota, Metazoa, Chordata, Mammalia, Primates, Hominidae.
AGUUUAUAGUGAUGAUGCUUACAAAUUCUAUAAGUAGACUUAAUGCAGUGAUGGUUGCAAAUUCUAUAAAUAUAUUUAAUGUGGUGAUGGUGGCAAAUUCUAUGAAAAACCCAAAUUGUACAAUUUCAAUGAGUGAAAGCAUGCUAUGUGAAUGUCUUCAUAAAGGUUUUAUUUAAAAAAUGAGCAAACGGUAGAAUGUUAACAUGGCCCACGUCUAUGUGGUGUCUAUAUUGGUUUCUAUUAUAUGUUUUCUAUGUGGUUGAAACAUUCCUAAUAAAAUGUGCAUAGUUUUUUAAAAAAGAAAACACAUCAGUGGACGUGAAUGCAGGAUGUCUUAUGAAUGCUCACACAGAAGCUCUCAUUCCUGAGGAAUGCAGGGAAAAGCAGAAGAUGGAGUAGGAGUUGGCAUGGCCCAGCUAGCUCAGAUGACACACGAUGGUCCCAGUGGCAUGACUUGUUUAUGCAAAUACCGUAUACGUGAUAAACGUCCCUACAACAUGAUCUUUGGAAUGAACUAAGACAAAGGAAACUCUGAGGAAGGACCAUGGCCUGAGAGGUGGAAUUCAUCCUUCCGAGGACUGAGAUGAGGACGGAAAAUGAACCAUCGGGGGGAUUGACGGUGAAGAUGCUAAUACCUGCCCAGCAUCGACCCUAGUGCGGGUCCCAAGACCAUCCCCCUGUGCAGGCUCCACCACCGCUGUGCUAACUGGACCGCGGCAGAACAGUGUGGGUGUGUGCCAGGUUCCUGCUGGGCCCUGCAGCUCCUCCCCCCAGCCCCAUGUGAUGUGCCCCUGGCCAUUGACACUCAGUUCGAGGGAAGGCACUGGGGUGUACACUCAAAGACCUAAACCCAGGGUGGGUGCGGUGG